GUUUUUGUUGAUCUGGGGUCAUCAGACCCAAUCUGAGAGGGAUACUCCCCUAAUCUGAGGGGGACUUCUGUUUUUGUCUGCAAUUUGAAAAGGGAAUCUGUGUUUUAGCUUUUUGUCUGUGACACUGUUAAGUGUGAUAGCAUUGUUUUACUUUGGACAAAUGCAGUGUCCCAAGUUCUGAUCUGCCUUAGAUGUGUGGAGGUAACUUUAGCUAAAUUUUAGCCUGAAAAUGUCCCUGGUAUGCUUCUCCUGCUUCCCAAAAAAUAGACUUUUGGUUCUAUUGACCAAAAGUCAUUAGAACCACCAGCUUUUCUAUUCUCACCUCUUACGCUCCUUUGAGCUAUAUUUUAAAGAACUUUGAUAAACUUUACUCCCCUUUGUUAAGCAAGAUUAGAGAAGCAAUGUUUUCUUUUCUUCCUGUAGUUGGCUUGAGUGCACCCACUGCAGAGGGAAAUGCCUGCUGGGGAUCUAAGAACUUUGAUAUCUCCCUUUUCUUUUUUCUCAAAACCCUGUCCUCAUUAUUAAAUUGGCAUUAGUUGGCUUCGAGAACAGGAACCGAACAUUCAGUUACAAAUUUUGGCACCCCAGAUGGGACUCUAGAGGAGCCCCCGCUUCACUUUCUUGGGGAAGCAUCGCACUCCAAACAACUGCAUGUGGAAGAUUAACUUUUUGAGAGCUGACUACUGAAAAGUUAGGAGGUAUGGAGUGUGCUUGGUGCCUGGGGUCAGACCAAACCAGAGGAGCUAAUUCUGUAAGUAAAAGGAGGGACUGAGGGACUCCCAGCAGCUGCAGAAGCACUUUUGCUUUGGGGAACUCCCUUCUUCCUUCCCUGCACUAUAAGGAUUAAUCCACCUCUGUCUGCUUAAAGAAAAAAAAAAGGUGGGGGGGGACACUGAAUGCAGUAAAGUUACCACACUGAGACCCUUGAUUUUACACUUCUGGUUGCCCCUCUGUGAGAACAUCUGGUCCACUCAUAGGGACAUCUAUGGUGCCACUGGUGUAAGAGUCAUAAUUAAAUGGGAGUUGGAAACUUGAGGAGAUUUUUCUCUUAUCUGUUCUGUCUGUUUUAAAGGUUAUUAUAGAUUGUUUCUUGGGAAUGAUCUUGGCUGAAUUUGUGUCUAAGAGAUGAUGUUUUAUUGUAACAAUCUGGUAUCUGAAUGGGUUUUUGAAGUAUUGCACAAUCUUGCAGUUAAAAGUUGGGUUAGGGGCUGGGGAUGUGGCUCAAACAGUAGCGCGCUUGCCUGGCAUGGGUGUGGCCCGGGUUCGAUCCUCAGCACCACAUACAAAGAUGUUGUGUCUGCCAAAAACUAAAAUGUAAAUAAAAUAUUAAAUAAAUAAAUAAAAAUAAAAGUUGGGUUUAGGUAAUUGUUUAGUGUAUGAUUUCAGAUAAUUCAUGCCAAAGAACUUAAAUACUUAGGAUGGAAAACUAAAGAACUCUACUUCCAAUUUGGCAAGUAACUCCAAAUCAUUUAGUUUUACUUUUUCACCAAUUUUUGAAUUGGGUAGCCUGGGGAGAUUUCACUAGGUGUACCAGGGCAUUAAUUUAGGCAAGGAUAGUAAAUUAUCGUAUGGUAUUGAAGUGGCACCCCCUUUCUCUACAGAAAAGCCUCUUCACCAUGCAUGAUUUUAGGACUGUCAGCAAAAGAGUCUCUGCGAAAGAGUCCAAUGUAGAUAAAGUUCCUAUUUUCAUGUUGCCCUGUUUUACUUGGCCACUGGCCGGGAAGAUACCAGCACUCCAGGUGCUGAACACCCCCUUACUAGUUUUUCACAAACAUCUAGUAUAGUAUUUUGUAGAAAUGUGCAAACAAGUCCUCUAGCCUUGAGCUGGGGUUUCACAUAGAUUUUUAAGAUAAGUUACAAAUGGGCUCCAUGGUAACAGCUGGCAGGGAGAGGAAAGAAAGAGGAGAAGAAGCUCUCCCCUUCUCAGGUGUGGUCCUUGAAGAGUUAACUUGCCCAGAAAAGUAAAAGAAAAAUGCUGCUUUUAUGAGAACUUCUGCAGACUGUGAACUUCUGAGCCCCUCCCCUUACAUGCUGGGUAUAAAAUUCUGAAACUCCCUGAACUCGAGGUUCAGGGGAUUAAUUGAUUACAGCAAAAACUGUGCCCUCUAAACCUGGCUGCAGCCAAAUAAAACUGUUUCCUGCUAUCUUUGGUGCCUUGCCUUAUUUGUCCCUACAACAGUAUCUGUUCCCCUCAGUGUAUAGGAUUUAGGAAAAGAAAGUGUUGGAUUGGGAUGUUGGUCUGGCUUAUUGAAAUGACAUUGAAUAGCAACAGUCUUGGGAAAUUUUAAAGCUUAAUUUUGGAUUAGAUGGUAGUGUGUGGUUCUCUUUUGGAACUUAAUACUACUAUAGGAACUUCAGAGCAAAGAAAGUGGCUUAAUGAUCCUGAAGGGAUUUCUUCUGAUGAUAGCUUUUAUAUUAUCAAGUAAGAUCCUAUUUUCAGUUUUGUGUGAGAAAGUUAUUCUAGGAAGAUAUAAAGGUAUGAAAUUUUGUGAAUUGUAUCUUAAACUUGUAUCAUAAUUUUCAACAUCCAAACCUGAAAAUUAUGACUUAAGGUUAAAAUGCCUUAAGCAUGAGGUUUCUGCUCAGAAUAGCAGUUUUCCCUGCUCCUUCCAGACCUCAGCCAGGACUUAAGUUGAAAUGCAAACAGAAGAAGCCUGCAAGCUCAGUAGGAGACUGAUCUGAGGCCCAGGAAAAAAAAAAAAGUAAAGGUGUCUUUUACCUGAACUCAAACUAGAUUAAACCAAAAAGUAAAUUGUAUAGUAUUUACUAAUUACUGGCCAGUCAUUUUUUUCUAGGACUCUUGUUUUUCCUUAGAUUCUGUAUUUUUUUUUUUUUUUUUUGAGCUCAUGAUUUUGAUCCUACAGACCUAGGUUAAUGUUUUUCUGAUGAGUUCUAUUUUUGAUCAACUGUUGAGUUUUUAAACAUCACAAUGGAGAUUUCACCUGAGAAAAGCUACAAGGCCUUUAAUAUUGUGUUAUGUGUGCACACUUGUGUUAUGUGUUGUAUGUCUGUAUGUGUGUAUGUCCAUAUAUCAUGCACAUGAUAUGACAAUUGGCAGAUAUACGAGGAGCCUCAUAAAAUUUUUUAAAAAUGAAUCCAAAUAUCUUUGAUUCAUGUGAUUUAAACAGUUCAAUUUAAAUUGGGUAAACAGAUGAAAAUAAUGAUGUCUUUAAAAUUAAGCUUACAAGUUUUUCUAGGUGUUCAAAAAAAACUAAUAAAAUGUUGAUGUCUAUGAAAUGUCUGAUAUGCUUUGGUUCUAGGACUUUUCUUCAACAAGGAAGAAAUGGCUAACACUGUUCAAUACACUUGUCUGAUGUUUUGGUAAAAUAAGUAAAGUAGAUUUGACAUGGGAUUACUCAUUUAUGAGUAUUUUUGUUAGAUAUUUGAUUGAUCUGUAGAUUUGACAUGGGAUUACUCAUUUAUGAGUACUUUUGUUGGAUAUCUGAUUGAUUUACAAGGUUAAAAUGCUAAAUUUAAAUAUACUAUUGAGUACUCUGAACUCCUUGAAUUGCAUUGAGUAACAUUAUUAGUGUUUUAGUUGGAAAAUUAAGAAAAAAAAAAGUAUAAGUGGAAAAUUAAGAAAAAAAAAGUAUAAAGUUGCUUUGUCAUCCCUGAUACUUAGAUAUUGUGUUUUCAUGAAAUGGUAAACAGAUGUGAUUCUAGAUACAGGGGUUUAUAGAAGAUUUCUAUAUACAAAGGCCCAAAAGUUUCAACUGUUCCAAAUAAGAGUACUGUAAGUAAAAUCAAGUAUUUCUUUUUAUUAAAAUGAAAUAAUCUGCCUAAGUUCAGAAAUUUACAAGGAUUGUUUUAAAAUGUGAACAGAAAAGGAGGUUAACAGAUGGAAAGGAGAAAUUAGAAGGUUCUAAGUAUGGAUUUAAUAGAAGAAAAAAAUGUGUUUCUAGAUAAAAGAGUCUAUGUGAUUAAGUAAAUAAGAGGGUUUAAGUAAGUGAUAAAGAAGGUCUGUGUAAGUUUGUCUUUACAAUCAGUCAUAUGUUAAAAGGACAAAGAUUUCUUAAAACAUUAGUGUACCCAUAACAUUGUGUUUUAUUAAGUUUUGUUUCUUGUUUCUAGAGCAAGUAAUCUUAAAGGAAUUAAACAGCUGGUUAAACAAGAACUGUUAUUUUAGAGAAUUGUACAUGUUAUUUCUUUAAAAGCUAAACUUGGUUAAUAUAAAAACAUCAUUGUAAUUGUGGUCCUAUUAAUGUGUUCAUAUCUUCCAGGUAUACAAGUCUGUAAGGUAGAAGCUUUAAAAGAGCAUUAUAUCAAGCUGGUGUUCUAAAGUUGUAUGGUAAUUUUAGGCUUAAAAGAAAAGCCAUAUUGGAAAUUUAUUUAUAUCAUUUGAUAUUCUAUAACUGGACCUGUUAUCAAUAAGAUAUGUAAAGCUUUAUGUUACUUUUUACACUGAGGUACAAUUUAAAUGUAUUUUUAAGUUAAUGAGAGCCUAAUCUGUGUAAAGGUUAAUAUUGCAAAACACAAAAGUACUUUGCUACUUUUCUACAAAAGGUUAAAAGCUUUCAGCCUUUCUUUAAUUCAUGUUUUAGAUGUGAUAUCAUAUUGUGUUAGCUAAUAUUCAUGUGAACUUGAGCAACAAUUUAUCUAAGCUUUGUAAAAUGAUGUUUAAAAAGCAAAGAUCAGCUUCAGAACUACAGCACUUUACUUAAGAUUUAUGAAGAGCCCCGCCUUACCUGAGAUAAGGCCUACGUCCCAUCUCACUACAUGUGAAAAUGACUAUGAAAGAAGUNGUGUUGUCUGGAGUACUAGGUACAAUAUGACUUACUUCAGCUGUAAUGAACUAAAUCCACUUGAGCAUGUUUUCUUUAUCAGGCAAAUGUGUGGAGUAGGCCAAGCCAUCCUAACAGCUGUAGUAGUAACACUAUGGCCCUAUUAUUAGCCACCAACCUGCUGCCUUGGGGAUGUUUGACCAUUUGACAAAGAAAAGAAGUAAGAGCUGAAGAGAAUCUACUUCCUUCUCCUCUUCAGAAAUGCACACUGGACCUUAAAUGCCAUGAGACAUGCUGCUAGCUCUCCAAUAAACCUCCCCAGUUUAUAUAUUUUUUCUCUUAAGAGAACAUUCCCUUACAAUGUAUUUUUGAACUUUACAACCAGAAGAUCAUAUAAUACACAGAGAGAUGAUAGUACCAGAAAUCAGAAUUCCUGUGCUAGAAAUUCAAAUGCAUCUUCUUUUUAUUAAAAUUAUGCUUCUCUUGUAUAUUGAUUUUUUCUGACCCUUGAUCUAGUAUAUGCAAAAGGAUUAUUGCAUUUAUUACAGUUACAAUAAAGUCUUAUGGAAAUGCUUUUGGCCAAGUACUCUUUUUCACUCUGAUGAAAGUAUAAAUUACUCUCAUCACUUAUCAAAAACCCCAUAGUACAAACUAUAUAAAUUAACCAUUCUACUAUUUUAAAGUUAUCUUAUAAAUGUCCUAAUUUUCAUUCAUACUAGUUACAAUCAUAAGACUAUAUGAUGGCAUCAUGCAUUAUAUGUAUGCCAAAUACUUAUCCAACAAAACACCAUAAAUAGGAUUAAAUUUUAAUCUACUUUUAACAUCCUUUGAGUUUAGCUGUGCCUAAUACAUAUUAUUAUUAUCUAAACCAAUAUACAGAUGCUUAUUAAUCACCAAUAUACAGAUGCUUAUUAAUCACUGUUCAUAGCUUAAGAUGUUAACCAACUGGCUCCAACUUUCCCUCUGGGACAAGUGAGUUUUCUUUGAUCAAGGUCACAGACUGGGAAUAAAGUGAGUCAGGUAGAGCUAGCAGAGCCGUGGCCAUUGUGAAAUCCACCAAAAAUUGUGAAUAAAUCAGUGCAAGUUCAUCACCACUACUGGGAAACAACUUAAAAAGUAGGCAGUAGGGUCACUGACAUCAUAAUGGGUGGACAAUCCACAAUUACCUAUAAGAAAUGAAUGCCUCAAUUGUUACUAAUAAUUAAUAAUGAGAUAUGAACUUCAGAAAAGUGUACACAUUGUGACACAUCUAGUUGCUUGUGGUACCCCUAAGAUUCAACAUAAUGAAACUGGUCAUAAUUUGUAGUAGUCCUUUAUAAAUAGCCCAAAUCUGUUUUAAAAUAUAGUAAAUUUUACUAAUCAACAUUAAACAUUUUCUUGUCCUUGUCUUAAUAUGAUUUAUUAGUAUCAUCAUAAUUUAUUAAAGGAAUAAUCACACUUAUUAAAUUGUGGUAUUUAUUUGUUAUGGUAAUUGUUAUGUAUUUAUAAUAAAACGCACCACUGUAUGCAAGAUUAAAUUAAUCAAUUACACUUUUAAAUAUUUUUAAAAAUCUAUGUGCAUAAUUUCAUGGUAAAUUUCCCCAGCUACAUUUAACACAAUUAUUGCCAAGAAUGGUUAUAACAUAUCAUUUGCUAACGGUUUUUCUUCUUUCUCCUACAGCAUAACUCUCCAUAAAUUGUAAUUCCAUUAUACCAACUGUUUGUGUGUUAAAAUAUGCAUUUAAUUUUAAUAUGCCUAUUUAUGGCGCAAUUAUAUUCCCAAGAAAGAAUGGUAAGCAAUAAGAAGCCCUGCGGAAAGCAAUAAGAAGCCCUGCGGAGUCAUACCUAAUACUCUGAUGAGCAAGGAAGGAUCUGUGUAAGAUCUGUGCUACCUUGGAGAGAAUCUACAAGUGCUAGCAAACUUAAGUAAAACAGAACAAAAUAGCCAGCAAAGCAAAAAAGACUUCCUUCAAAUUACAAGACUUGGUGCUGCCCGCCUCUUGCAGCCUAGGAACAGAGAAGGCCAGGAACCCAAGAGCUGCUGGCAUCAGUGCCGAGGCGACUUUAUCUAGGACACAGGGCACUCUCAGCACGCUCUGGCUUCCUUUGCCCUUGUGCUCUGCGGGCUCAGGUAUUGAACCGGCCGCGCAGAAUUUUAAGAAAGAGGAUAAAACUUGGGCAGGGAAGCUUGUCUGAGAAAUGUUUUCGGGGCACGCAAUGGGGCAAAGGACUAGUCUCCGGCUGAGCCGAGCAGAGCGGGGCCCGGGCCUUACCAGCUGAACCACCGGCCACGAUCUGCCGAGAAGCCUCACGCACUAAUCCAACUUCGGGCUUGGCGGACAUCUUCACAGCCGGAGAAGGAGGGAGGGGACUGGGAUGAGAGAUCAAGCUCGCUCCUGAAUCCUGGCCUGCGCCGCCUCUCCGGAUAACAGUCGGUGCUGGGUUGGCCCUCUGGCGGGUGGUUUCCUGGGCGCCGGCAAUCCAGGGACUACCCAGAGACGGCGGUUCAGGCACUGGCUCCCUACUAGAUCUCUGGUGGGUGGGACGCUGCCUACUUCGCUGCUUCUGGGUGGCCUUUCCCUUCGACUGGUCUCCCUGCGCUCAGGAAAGGUCUCUGGAGAGAAAACUCACUCGAGGGUGGCAGUAGGUGGACUCACCGCAGCAUGUCAGGCUUGGUCUCUUAGAUUGGCACCCCCUGCGCUUCUCUAUCAGCCUCCUGCUGUUUGUCAAGUAGGACGCUCUGCCUUUGAUAAAGCAAGUGAAGCCAUUAGGGCCAAAGCUCCAAGGGUAAGUCUGGAGCGACCCUUGCCCCAUUGGCAGGACAGAACACAGUACCGUUCUAUAGAGUGGACAGGUGAACAAAUUCCUCGGAGUUAUCCUGAGUUGUAGACUGAAGCAACUGGAAUUUUUAAUUACCUUACAACUGAGCUAAUAUAUACUACUUUAACGAGAAAAUGGCUUUAAGGAAAUUUAUUUCAAACCUCAUAAGCUUUAGUUUUAUUUGCUGAAAGACCAAAGAGAAAAUGCCUGGUUACAAAUAGUCUUCUAGACCCAAGCUCAGAGGUUCUCAAAGUAUGAAACCAAACAUAAUUUUUGAAUCUGGUAGAAAGUAAAAUUCAGAAGCUCCACUCUCACCUACUGAAUCAGAAUCUCUGGGUUUAGGGCCCAGAAACCUGUUUUAACCAGUUCUCUAUAGAUUAUUAUGAACAUUAUAAAGUUUUUGAACCACUGAGUUAAAUAAUUCAGGAACAUUAAGGAAUUUCCAGUAUAUUCUCUCUAUAAAACACUUAUUUUUUCAUAUUAGCUUCUUAGAAUAGUUAACAAAACAAAAAAUAGUCAUUUAAACCAUAAGUUGCAAAUUGCUAUGUAGGAGAGACACAAAUUCCUGCCACACAAGAUUGUGAAAUUUUAGAAGAAACACCCACCACACCCCUACAGGCAGGAAAUGAUAAGAAUAGAAGGAACAACUGGGAGGCUUUGGCUAUUAUUUCUAAUUCAUGGUAUUUAAUACUAAAUACAUUUAUUUUGUGCCAUAUAAAAUUGCUAUUUUUGAAGGCCAAAACCUUUGUAUAUGAACAAUUAAAUUUAAUAUAUAUGAUUUCCAGUCAAACAUACAAAAUACUGUAUUAGGAUUUCAUACUUUAUUUCUUUAGCUGAGCCAUUAAAAGUCAGUGAUACUAAUACCUGACUGGAAAAAUUAUUCAGAGUGAGGAAUUGGGGAGACUUGCUUAUGUGAUUAGAUAUUUAAAAAUAAAGUUUCUCAUUUGAUUAAAAUGGCUAAAUUUGAAAUUUUCCCCAAGAAAUAGUUCUCAGAAUUAUUUGCUAAUUAUGUAGAAUAAAAGCUUUUGCAUAGUAUUUUUCAGCCUUUUACUGAUUAAAAUAUAAGGUUAUGAUUAUAUAACAUUAAAUCACUUUUUUGUCAAAAAGUGAUGAUUUUAUGUUGUGUGGAAACAAUUUCACACAAUAGAAAGCAUUUCCUUCCUUUUACAACUGAGAAAAAACUGAGCAGAGACUUGAGUUUUCCACAAUGAAACAAGGAGUGACAGAAGAGGUGGGCUUCCAUUCUAGGAUUCCUCUGGUAAAAAAUGAGAUUGUGUGUGUGUGUGUGUGUGUGUGUGUAUACACAUUUUUUUUAGUUGUUGAUGGACAUUUAUUUAUUUAUAUGUGGUACUGAGAAUCAAAUCCAGUGUUCACACAUGCUAGGCAAGUGCUCUGCCACUGAGCCACAACCCCAGCCCUGAGAUUGUCAAUUUAAUUAUUAACCAUAGACCAAACAAAAUACAUUCUGUCAUACAGAAAUCUAAAAUAACUAAAGAACCCCCAAACUCAUUUAUUAUAUGUAAGGAGAAUUUCUAAAGUUUCUAAAAAUAAGUAGUCAUAACUGUUAAAUCCCAAGGCACAUACAUUCUAGAUUCAUUGAGAGCCUUCCUAAGUACUGGCAAUAUUAGCAGUAAACAUCCCUCCAUUAUGGAUCACAUAAUUUGAUGGAGGAGAUGCUACUGUCUUGCAGUGUAAAUAAAUAUUUGCCUUCCCAGCCUUUAUUUUAGGAAAUGUAAUAAUACUAUCAAGUUAAGAUUUAAAGAUAGCUAUUGACAUUAUUAUUCUCAUGACUAUUUUCACCUUUGAAGGAAGAGCUUCUAAAAAGAUGAGUGCAGGUUUGUAGUUGGACUAAAAACAUUGCUUCCUUUUUUUAACUUCUCUAGACUAAAACAGAUUUCUUUAGGUAAAAAAGCAAGGCCUAAUAUUGCAUGUAAUCCAGUGACACACCUCUGGAAUAGUUGAGAUCAUUCACAGGCAUAACGUUCUGGAGCUUGAGAGUCUGCAAGGGUCAGUCCAGAGUUAACAAAAACCCAUUGUGCCAAGACCUCUGAUAACGGAAUAUGUCUUUUAUCUACAGCUAAAUUUGCACAUGGCUAAUACCUAGAUGCUGGGAGAUUUAGCCCUGGGAAACUAAACCUUGGCCUGCUAUUUCAGAUGAUGGGACUCAAUUCAUCACAUUGUUAUUUCUGUUAUUUUAAUAAUAUUGUACAGCCCUAAUAGAACAAAAACUAUUGCUCAAGCUUGUGUUUUUAAAAUUGUUAAUUUUUUCCAUCUAAUCUUGGUUAAGAAUUACAUAAGUAUUAUCACUGUGCAGAAUGGCUGAAAAUGAAACUUUCAGGAACCUUAAAAUGACAACUGAUUUAAAUAUUUGACAGUUUAUUCAAUGUGUUAUUGAAAUAAAGUUUUUGUAUUGGCCCAUCCAAAAUAAUAAUGACUUGAGACAAAAAUUUAUUUCACCCUUGUGUAAUAACCCAAUGGUAAGCCACAAAUAUAGCUCUAGCCUGAAGAGAAAGGAAAUUACACAAACUCAUUGGCCAGAACUUGGCCACAAGAGGUCCAAAAGAAAUUAGGAAAUGUAUGUUGCUGCAUGGUCAUGUAACCAGGAUGUAGUGGUGGGUGGUUGCCAGUAUGGAAGAAGGAGAGAACCAACAGUGCCUGUCAUUAAAAAAAAAAAAAAAAAGAUUUAGGAAAAGCUACACUUAAAAUGACAUUUUCCGGGCUGGGGUUGUGGCUCAGUGGUAGAGUGCUUGCCUAGCAUAUGUCAGGCACUGGGUUUGAUUCAAAUAAGUAAAUAAAAUAAAGGAAUAAAGGUUCAUUAACAACUAAUAAAAAUAUUUUUUUAAAAAAUGACAUUUUCCCUUUGAAAGAUUUUGUCUUCCUUAAGUCUAACUAUUAAAAACUCUUAUUCAUAAGUAUUAAAAAUAUUAUGUGCUUAAAAUCCAUAGAUCUGAGUAUAACUUCUCAAAGCUUAUUUACAAAUACUAUGAUAUGUUUUCAUUAAGGACAUUCUAGGUUCUGCUGAUUAGAUUGAGCACUUAAAGCAUUUUAAAAUUUAAGGGAUUACUAAACACUGUAAAUGAAAUAGUUAAGGUGUUAUCUUUGUUAUUGUAAUAAAAAUACUGAAAUAAUCACCUUAAUAAAAUGUUUAUUUUGGUUCACAAUUUUGGAAGUUCUAGUCCAUGAUUGAUUAGCCCUAUUGCUUUGGAGUCUGUUUCAGGGAACUACCUCAUUGUGGGCAGCAUGUGGCAGAACAAUGUUGUUCACCUCAAGUCUAGGAAGUAAAAGAGAAAUUGAAAGACACAAGGGUCCCUUUCAGGACACACACUCAAUGAUCUAAAGACCUUGCAGUAAGCCCCACAUCAAGGGUUCUACCACUUUCCAAAAG
This 10905-nucleotide long non-coding RNA is filed under the name Marmota monax (woodchuck). Lineage: Eukaryota; Metazoa; Chordata; Mammalia; Rodentia; Sciuridae. The record is from RNAcentral.